Long non-coding RNA from Dromaius novaehollandiae (emu), 719 nucleotides. The record is from Ensembl. Lineage: Eukaryota; Metazoa; Chordata; Aves; Casuariiformes; Dromaiidae.
AUGACCUCCUCCUUGGCUGAAGAUUCUGCCUUUAUUGGCUCGAAUGUCAAUGUGUUCAACGUUCAGAGAUGCCCCAAACCUCCUUGUGUGCAAAAGCAGGCACUGGAAGAAUACCAACAGAUGUAAGAAGAAUCUCAGUGAGGUAUACUGAUAAAGGAGCGGAGUCUGACAACUGUAUGGUUUUGGAGCACAGGAGUGAAAUCUCUCUGGAAGUCUUGGAAACACCAUGCAUUUCACAACAGAAUUUGCACGGCUUCAUGCAAACGGAAAACGGGAUGCUGCCCAUUAGGAAGAAAUUGCUGCAGAGACUGAAACCAAAUCUGUUUAUUCCUUGUUCUCAAACCAUCUUCAGUUAGGAGACAUUGCUGAAAAACUUUCACCUGGAUAAAUAACCAUGAUGUCUCCAUCAAGAAUACAUCCUCAGUGAAUUAGAAUUCUUUUAUUCAAAUUGUUGAAAAUCUGUUCUGCUUGGAGGUUUAUAUCAUAUGGAAAUUAUUCAGCACCACAAAAGGAGUAUGCUGAGGCCCCAUAAAAGUUUAAAAGCUACUUUGAACUCACUCUCGGGCACAAGGAGACUUUAUUACUUGAGAUUUUGUUUGGAAAUAUAUCAUAAAUGAGUUUUUCUUAUACAUUAGAUAUCUUCUACCAUGGCUCUUUCAUAUCCAAAUUUCUCAUCAUUCUGGAAUAAAAUUAAGGCAUUUGUGCUUUUUCUUUUUUGG